CGCACAAACACACACACACAACUUGAUGACCGAAAGGAUUUUUCAUUACAGUCACAAGACGAAUUGACCUUGAAAAGGGAGAAUGAAAAGUUAAAACAAGAACUGAAAAGGCAAGAGAAAAGGAUUGCGUCCUUGGAAACAGAAAUCCAGAUACUGAAGGCUGGUGCUUCUCAUGGCAAUGACCAGCCACAAAUGGAAACAAGUAACAUUUACGAGUUUCAAUCCGAGGAUUUUUUU
Haliotis rubra (blacklip abalone) is the source of this 237-nucleotide long non-coding RNA. RefSeq lists it as uncharacterized. The transcript is spliced from 3 exons. The record is from RefSeq and is a predicted model, not a curated record. NCBI's taxonomy places the organism in Eukaryota, Metazoa, Mollusca, Gastropoda, Lepetellida, Haliotidae.